Molecule: long non-coding RNA, 856 nt
Organism: Oncorhynchus masou masou (cherry salmon)
Lineage: Eukaryota; Metazoa; Chordata; Actinopteri; Salmoniformes; Salmonidae
Exons: 4
Source: RefSeq, a predicted model, not a curated record
AGAAAACACUGAGAGAGAAAGGACAAUGACCCAACACACCUCCAGGCUGUGUAAGGGCUAUUGACCAAGAAGGAGAGUGAUGGAGUGCUGCAUCAGAUGACAUGGCCUCCACAAUCACCUGACCUCAACCCAAUUGGGAUGGUGUGGAAUGAGUUGGACCGCAGAGUGAAGGUAAAGCAGCCAACAAGGGCUCAGUAUAUGUGGGAACUCCUUCAAGACUGCUGUUGGAAAAGCAUUCCAGGUGAAGAUGGUUGAGAGAAUGCCAAGAGCGUACAAAGCUGUCAUCAAGGCAAAGGAUAAAAAUUUACUGGAAACUGAUUUGCUUUGGAUAAGAAAGAUCUCAAAGAUACGCUCUAUGUACUCUAGGAACUGGACGACUUGCCUUAAUAGAUGGAACCAAGAAUUCUGCUCUGUAUCAGAGAAUUCUACAGGAGAUUGUCAGGCCAUCCGUCUGUGAGCUAUAGCUGAAGAGCAGCUGGGUAAUGCAGCAAGACAAUGAUCCAAAACACACAAUCAAGUCUACAUGAAAUACCUGAAAAGCAACACAUUUGAACUUUUGGAAUGGCCCAGUCAAUGUCCAGACCUCAUCCCACAAUUGAGAUGUGGAAAGACUUGAAACAAGCAGCUCAUGCUUGAAAACCCACAAAUGGUGGCUGGGUUAAAUUAGUUCUGCAUGGAAGUGUGGGCCAUAAUUCCUCCAAAGCAACGAGAAAGACAACUACAGGAAGUGUUUGGUUGGAGUCAUUGUAGCUAAAAGGUGGCACAACCAGUUAUUAAGUAUAAGGGGGCAAUUACUUUUUCACACAGGGGCAUUGGGUGUUGCAUAACUUUGUUAUGAAAUAAAUCAAAUAAGUAU